GGACGGUAAGUAACUGCCAAACACCGAAAUUGUACUAACAGUGACGCCGGAGCGCCAACAAAACAUCAACUGCCAACUAAUAAUUGAAGAAGACACUAAAUAAACCCGAACAACACACUCUACA
Molecule: long non-coding RNA, 124 nt
Organism: Drosophila mojavensis
Lineage: Eukaryota; Metazoa; Arthropoda; Insecta; Diptera; Drosophilidae
Exons: 2
Source: RefSeq, a predicted model, not a curated record